Molecule: long non-coding RNA, 6607 nt
Organism: Columba livia (rock pigeon)
Lineage: Eukaryota; Metazoa; Chordata; Aves; Columbiformes; Columbidae
Exons: 3
Source: RefSeq, a predicted model, not a curated record
ACCGCGGCCGCUCCCCCGGGGAGGAGGGACGGGGCUGCCGCCCGGGGGGGGCCGGAGCGGAGCAGCGAGAGGGGAGGGUGCCGCAGCCCGGGAGGGGACAGCCUGGGGCCACCCACUCUGCCGAAAGUUGGGCUGGAGGGCAGGCCAGGAAGGUUUUCACACCUCCUGCACUACCUGUGAUGGACAAAUCUGUGCCACAACCAGCUCCAUGGUGCCGCAUCUUCUUGAGGGGAUCCCUCUCAGGGGAACAAAUCUAUAAGCUGCUUAGGACAAAACCCAAGUCAAGGGGAGGUUUUAGUGCUUAAUCUGUUGCCACUAGCAAAUAGGAGCAACAAUAAAAGCUAUUCCAAAAGAGUGAGAAUAAGUUGUGAAGGAAGACAAGUCAAAGGUAUUACAAAAAGAGGCGAAGAAUCCUACAGCUUUUGUGCUGAGGUUGCAUCCAGGCUACUUCGAAGAGUUCAAAUCUGCAGUGAUGCUGUAUGAGCUUCCAGCACCUGAGACCUCACUUUCUCAUGGAGAAAAGUAAGGAAAACAAACCAGAUUUGUCAAUGUCGAUCACUACCCACUUUGUCCAGCAUGUCAGUGAAGAGGUGGCUCUGAAUUGAUCCUCAGUUUUCACUAGUCCUUACGGAUCCUGGACCACAGAAGACAGCCUGUGUCCCUUGCAUUUGUAUCUCCUGCUCAGCCACGCUGGAUGGAGUCCUUCCCACGCCUGUAGUAUCUGCAGUACAAUACAAUCAAGGUCAUCUGAACUCCUUGGAUAAAGACAAUAUGUUGUCCAGUGAAUCAUAUGAAAGUUUCCAGAGGUUUUAUACUAAAAAAGAAGCGAUGAAAGGACUGUACCUAUCCCAUCUGUUUCUUUUACUACACUUGCAUCAGACUGUUCAGGAUGUUUCUCAGUAAGACCUAAUGAUGUCAAGAAGCGUUGUGACUGAGUGAUGUUGCGUGAGCACAUGGCAGCCGACUCAAGAACCAUAUGUCUCAUUCUACUGCCACAACCGAAGGAAGGAUGAGACGUACUCCAUCAAAUUCACACAUGAACACAGAUUAUUAUUUUUCCUAAGCUAUACAGAAAGUUAUCACACUCAGUCAGAAUUCAUGCACACAAGGGGAAAUUCUUGGGUCUGCCAGAUGUGCAUAGAAAACUCAGCAAGAUUCCACAGGCUGAACUGUACUUUUGCACUUGCUUAGGAUAAAUGAUGUAACACUUGUUCUAUUUGUAUAUUUCUGUAUCUUGUUCUUACCAAUAGCUACAAGAUGUAGGUCAAAGAACUCCUUCUAGGGUAAAAGAAACCUUCAAGGCAUUAUUUUUAGUAUAGAGGUGUAGAUAUGAUUGAAUAAUUCUAUCUUUAUUUAUUUUCCACUUUUUCUCUUCUAAAACAGACUUCAAAAAUAGCUGAAUGAAUGCCUGCCAGAUAUUCACUGCUUACAAGAAUAGGAGAAGUGGUCACAGUCUUAUCAGUGUUUUCAAAAUAUUAACAGUAUUCUUUAUUGUUCUUUUGGGACUCAGUCUCCCUAAAGGAGCAGGUGACAUUUUUGCCUCUGUUUUUAUUUCUUCCAGCAGACCUGUCUUUCCCAAGUACAUUUGAGAUGCAAUCUUACUGUUCUGAGAAAAAUCACACAGGAGCUCAGGGGGGUAGUUAGCAAAAGACUGGUGUAUUCUGAUAGUCCUGUAAUUCAAAAUCCAAGUGCUUUGGGUUCUUUUGCCCUUGGAUAUAUACAUAUAUCUUUUCUUGCUUCAAUAAAUGAGUGCCUGAGUGAUAUUGAUAAGAGCCAGGCUAUUGUUUUCUUUGCAAGGCAGAAACAUUUAACAGAUACACUGCAAGUGGUUCUGCAAAUUUAAGAUAUCCCCCCCAAAUGACUUUUGCUCCUGCUGAAGAUAAAACAAGAGUACAGAAGUCACUUGCAGCUAUUAAAUAAUUCUGCAAGACCAUUUCACUUGCAGAUGUUAAUAGCCCUUUUUAAGUAUUAUCCAAGGAGAAGUUUUCCCCUGGAUAUGGCACAGGAAUCUAUGAAUUGGUGUUACCAAGCAAACCUUUCCCUGGCAGCAGCUGCUGAAAGUUGAAGAUGCUCUUGACAUGACAACUCUGGGAAUCAGGGACAACAGGUCAGUGUGUGGUAACUGAAACCACUGGGUUUAAACCAGUUGGUGGUUUUGCCAUUUAAGGCCACAAGACUGUGGAGACGGGGUCAUGGUCUUGUUUAGAUGAUCCCACACUGCUCUGGGCCGCAGAGGCUAUGAGAACAGUUACUCCAACCUCUUCCUCUUCCUUCUGACCAACAUGGAGUUAGGUGAAGCUAUAGUCUGUCUCUUGUCCACCACACCUCUCCUCUGCACUCUCUUAAGUACUUGGAUCCAGGGCCUGUCAUUCUUCCUUAAGUUCUCAUCUAGUUACAGCCAGGUGAAUGAUGGAGUUGUCAGAAAUGGCAUCAGGAUUGGCUUUGUUGCAUUUCUUUUCACAUCAGUCUCCACCUACCAGAAUGUGUUUGGUGUGUUUAUGCUCUAAGCUAAAAAUAUUAUUACAUUAUGGAAUGUGAAAGCAAAUGUUCGUGGAAGGUCAGAGCUUUAACAUCUUAUUCAACACCAUAAUUAAAUGUCACUACCUCUAUCUAUUUAAGUGUUGUAGUUUGAAGGAGAAAAUGAAUAACCUUUCAGCUCUUCUAACAGUAUUAUUUCAGAUUUUAGAAACAAGGUGAUCUAAGUAUUUUGUAGAUAUAUGCUUUAGGGACAAAUAAACUUCAGAAGAAAAAUGGUUUUUAACUGAAAAGAAGCUAAGCACAAGCCCAAAUUUGAAUAGCAAAAUAACAAGCUGUUCUUUGCCAAAGGCAAACAAUAAAACCCUGCUGCUGUGCCUACUGAAGGUCCAUCCUUCCAUACGCCUUGUUUUUAUCAUUUAUUGACACUUCCAUCUCCAGUGUAAUUUAGUAAUACUUCAACCAGUCUGUUGGAAAAUAAACAUUAAAAAUUAUGAUAUUAGCUUAAUUUAGAUAUUAGAGACUAUAACUGACCCUGUGAAGAAAUCUAACAUAAAGCAUAUGAGUCAUUUCAAACUCUGUCAUCACGAGCAUCUGAAUUUAUUCCCAUCCUUUCAAGCCAAGACAGAAUGAAACCCCACGGGGUUGUUUCCCAGCACAAAUACAGUGAGACCACUUUCGUAAUGAGUAUUUCUUGAUGUCACCAAACUCAAGGCUGUCCUAAUAAUUUGAUUUAAAAAAAAAUAAUCUUAUCGAUUUGUUUGCCAGUUAGUGGAUUAAAUGUUCAUAAGUCAGUUCCUCUAUUUUCCUCAACUAACUUUGGAGGUGAUUCAGGACCCAAGUAAUUCACUGGGAAUUUGGAGAGGGUGAGGUUUGGUGUUUUAAUUUGGAAAUCAGAGGCAAAGGCCCCGUCCCAGCUCGAUCGCUCUCCAUGGUGCUGCAGCCCUUCUUCUUUUUACCCAAAACCACCUCUUUUGGCCUCAUUUGUACACUGGCUCUGGCAACCCAUUUCCAGACCAAAACCCAUGUUCUCCUGUCACCAGUGCUUUGCAGGACCAGACGAUCUGAAAGCAGAGUAGGACCUUAUUCCUGCUCUGUUUGCACAUCAUACCAGUUUUAAACCUCAUCAAACUGUAUAUUAUUUUUAAACUUAAAAUAUAACAGCGAAUUCCUAAAUGGAACUGUUCUUUAAAAAAUGUGUUUUGUGACUGAGGUGCCUAUCACUGACACUGAACUUUUGUUCACACAAAUUUGAAUAAAGCUACUCAUACUCUUAUUUAGUGUCUCAUGGGUCAUACUUCCAAACACAACAAAUCUAAGAGACAUUAAAGCCCUAUAAUUUUCAGAGUAUCUUCUCUUCAGUGCCUCAGAAACAUGGUGACACUUUGGGAAACACACCUGUUGCUGUGCCAGAGAGAGAAAAAAAAUUGAUUGCAGUUAUACCCUUAACAGAUCAUUGUUUUGUUUUGUUUUGUUUUGUUUUGUUUUGUUUUGUUUUGUUUUGUUUUGUUUUGUUUUUCCUCUGCUUUGACCAGUGAGUUUAAAAAAAUGACUAUAUGCAUUCAAAUUCUGGGUCACUCACCCAGCUUCUGGGAAAUACUUGCUCUUUGGAUUUCAGCAUCACUCACUUCAGCAGGAAUUAUACCUGAAUAUGCCCACAGCUGUACUGACGUGGCAUCUGUACCUGCUUAAAAUCCAGGUGCGUGUCAUGCCGAGCUUUGCAAAGACUCUCAGAGCACUUGAAGGAAGAAAUAAGCCCAGGUGUUGGUGACUAUUUUAAGCUCUUGCUUGAGAAGUUUUCUAAAUUCAAAUCUCUCAGCCACAGAUGGAAAACCUAGAGCUCUUUUGAGCUUGUAUACUCACUCAGAUUAUUGAAAACAAGUGUGUGGGCACCACUGAGAGAGAUCAACAGGAAUCUGUGAAAACACUCUGUGAUAAAUGUUUUUCCUCACCGGAAUUUUUAGUUAAUUUGUUGGCCUCAAGCAGUUUAGAUUUUCUGGUUUGUCUCUGAUGAUCGAAAAUGAGCAUUUGACUGGCACCAGGGAAAUCAAUCUGUUCUGAAGCAAGAUCUUCUUUUUAUCUUGAGAACUACUUAGUGUCUUCCAUCAAGCUGAGUUUAAUCAGGAUGCCUCAUCCAUUUGUAUUUUGCAAUGUGAGAGUCACAUCCUGAACACAAGGUCCUGAGAGGCUCUGUGUUUGCCUGGAGAGUUAACACAAAGCCACAGUCACACAUACCAGCCUGUGCAGAGAGGACAUGAGCCGUGGAAAUCCAUGGAAAUGUUUAUUUUUGGUGUCAUAGGCUUAGGGAUGUUUUAAAUAAUGAGGCUUCAGUGUAUACAGAGCUCCGAUUCUUUCCCCUUUGACUUUGUAUUGUGGUAAACCUCGUCAAAAUGUGAAAUUCCUGGUAUUUAUUGGUGCAUGUUCAGGUGAUAAAAGGAAAAACAUUUUGGUACAGAACUUUAAAAUAAAUUAAAAAGGGCACAAAUGGACUAAAUCCAGAGAGGUCAAUAGUCAGAUUUAAAUGUUGUAUCAAAACAUGUUGAAGUUACCAAUACUUCAGGAGCCAGGACAGACUUCACCAGUGGUUGUGCCACGCAGUGGCUGAUAAAUCAGAUAGAUAGUUGUGCCCAUGGUCUCUCUUCAUGACAUCAUAGCACAGAAUAUGAGUUGGUCUGAAAUUUGCUGCUAUUAAUCACAGUUACUUUCACAGUAAUUACUUUUAUUACUCAAAUUACUUUGAGAAUUCAUUCUGUGUUUUCUCCAAAAGACAAAAUGCAUCUCAUUGCUAAUAUACUGAACAUGAAGACUUACUUAUCAACCUCUUUACCGUAAUCAGAAGAACUUGACCUGAAUAAUAGAGUGAAAUUUAGUAUGAUGCAGAGGACUAUUCUGCCAAUACAGUCAUUCAAGGCUGUUAUGCUGUCCAAACAGGCCUGAGGGAUUUAAAUGGUCUGCAGAUUGUCUUGUAGACCUUUGCACAAAAAUAACUUUGAUCCAUAGAGAUUUACUGUAUUUUACAUCUUACCAAUUGUCUACACAAGGUGAACUUCAAACAGAACAGAAGUGAUUGUAUGUACGUGCACAGAGCUUGAGGAAAUACGUCCCAGUAUUUGUACUAAUGCCUCUUGUUGCUUCAUGUCGCAAUUCAAUGCUUUAUUCCUCAGAAAGGUGCUUUGAUGGAAAGUUUUGAUUGAGUUUUCUUCUGAUCUUUAAUGAAGGAAUUAACAUAACUAAUACAUUUAACUUUCUUCAUAUUUUUUUAAUAUAAUCUACAAUGAAAAUAGCAAAGCCAACAACAUCUCAGAUUUUGGUGGAAUCUACUUUACAAUCAAGUUGGUCCAUGUGUUCUGCUAUUGUACACAGGUAAUCUGAAAUAUAUCUUCACAAAAUCAUUAAUUUCAUCCUCUUCUGCUGUUUUCAGUCCUAAUUCAUUCUGGGGUGCUCUGAUACCCUCAAAUACAUGAAGUCAUCCUCUAAUGGUUUUCUAAAUUUACUAAAAUUGCUGCAGGUAGAUGUGAAGUAUUUGUAGUUAAUAUGAAUAUGAAAGGCAAAAUAGAAGAUGUAAUGAUGCAAUUCGACUCAAAAAUAAUAAUUAAAAAAAUAUUUGUUUGGAAAAGUAAAACUGAGUAAUAAACAAAUCUAUUUUAUGACUCUUUUCUUGAUACCAGUCUUUGAGAAUGUCAUGGUCACUUCUGGAAUAAAAUUCAGGGUAGUCUUACUGGAAUAGCUCAUUGUCUAGUCUCAUGUUUGAUGGGAAAAUUAGUGGUUGAUCCAGAACAUUAUUUUAAAAACUUAACAGGUUAAAAACUGAGAAUCACUGCCAAAAUUCAUGAAGUCUCAUUAAUUGAGGACCAAAAAAGAGCUUUAAAAUUCCCUCUGCACUCCUUGGAGGGGAUUCCAGCCUUGCAAAGUAAAUGUCAUUGAAAGAGAUUGAGCUCAUGGAAAAAUAAAUUCUCUCUGACAGAAGAGAAAAUUUGAGGGCCCCAAGAGUGCAAGAACAUAAAGUCUAGCCAGAGCGAAGCAGAUCUGCAAUAUAUUAAGCCUGAAUCAUAGUCCUGAGUCAUUCUUCACACUGAAGGAAACCAGCAAUUUAGAGUUAGACCAUGAGCUCCCCAUGCUCAGAUUUUACUCC